CAACCCUCGAACCCCUCCGGGGGGUCGGCGUUGGGGAUCGGCCCUCCCUUAGCGGGUGGCCGUCUCCGAAAUACAGUGGCGGUCUCGCCGCAGCCUCUCCUGCGCAGUAGUUUGCACACUCGCAUCGGGAGCGCGGCGCGUCCACAGCCGUUAAACACCCAACUUCCUGAAA
This 172-nucleotide unclassified non-coding RNA is filed under the name uncultured Hypocreales. RNAcentral describes it as "sequence contains ITS2". Lineage: Eukaryota; Fungi; Ascomycota; Sordariomycetes; Hypocreales. The record is from RNAcentral.